This 462-nucleotide ribosomal RNA is filed under the name Triticum aestivum (bread wheat). RNAcentral's name for it is "partial small subunit ribosomal RNA". Lineage: Eukaryota; Viridiplantae; Streptophyta; Magnoliopsida; Poales; Poaceae. The record is from RNAcentral.
AUGACGCCGCAUGUGGUGGACUUUGGAAUUGCUCGAGUUGAUCUAACGUGUUUAACAAUGACAAGUACAAGCAUGCAUGGAACAAUUGGGUACAUGGCACCAGAGUACGGGUCACUUGGAAAAGCAUCACGGAAGAGCGAUGUGUUUAGUUAUGGAAUCAUGAUCCUUGAAGUCUUCACUGGAAGGAGACCCACUGAUGCUACGUUCGGCGCACAACUAACCCUUAGGCAAUGGGUUCAUCAGGCGUUUCCAAUAGAGCUUGUCCAUGUCAUCGAUGGCCAGCUACUGCAAGGCUCCCCUCUUUCUGGUUGUGUCUUGGACAAUGACUUUCUUGAGUCAGUAUUUGAGCUAGGUUUGGCCUGCACCACUGACUUGCCUGACAAGAGAUUGACUAUGAGUGAUGUGGUCGUGAGGCUGAUGAAGAUCAAAGCCGAGUACACCAAACAUAAUAUACACAUACCU